AACAAUUUUUUAAUGUUCAAAGUCUUGAUUAAUUUCUAAUAAAAAAAAGUUAAGGUGAGAGACUUUUCUCUCUCGGUUUUCUCCCCCUCGACCUCUUCUCUCGGCGUCUCUCGUAACCUCCGUCACGGUAGCCGGUGGUGCUUUCUCAACCGUCGGUCGCCACCCCAACUAACGUUCUGUUCUCCGCCUCUUUUUCUGUAACCAAUCAUCCAACCUGCUUCUUCCUUGCUUCAAUCUCUCUGGAUUCCGUCAAAUAACGACCGGAUUUGACGGCUCUAAACAGAAGUCGAAUUGUUCUUGUCUUCUCUGGAGGAUUGGCGAAGAUGUAGUUGGGUCCCUUGUCUGCAGGAAGCGUCGAUUAGAGGUAGAUAUAGAUCUAGGGUUUUUGUUGGAUCUGGGUCAGAUCCGACUCGGAGGCUUUGCCGGACAACAGAGCGUCGCUGCCUCUGCCUCUCUGGUUUGUCGCCGCCUCCUCUUGUCUUCACAUCUCCCUCUGUCGAUUGCUCAGCCAGAACUUCCCCAUCUUGACCUUCGGAUCUAAGAUGAAAAGACGAGAUGAGGCUUUCGUCGGGGACUUCUUUUCCUUAUGAUUCUUUAGCUCAAAAUCAUGACGGCUCUACUCGCCGUUUGUGUUGUUGGAGCUUUGGUUCCUCUGUUCUUCAUAUUUCCAGAAGGAAGCUAUUCGUCAAUGUUCCAGCCUUGUCCUUGCUCUGAAGCUAGAAUCUUUUCAGUUGAUGCUCGUGUGAAGGGACCGGAGUAGAGAGCCCUGAACCUCCGCUUGUUUCCGCCUGCGUCGCUCCACACUUAUCUGCUAGCUUCUCUUCUUUGCAUUAGGGUCUCCUGGAACCACCGGAUUGGCUUCUAGAGCUAUUUCAGCGUCUGGAGUAGACAUCAUCGGUGCUAGCCGGACCAGGACCUAGUCAACCCUGCUUCGCCGUCGCACCUUUUCGAAGUCGUCUUCGGGAUGAGCCUCGGUUCCUAGGCUCAUUCUCCGGCUGAUUGCUCUAAUGUUCGUGACUCUUUGUGCAGGUUCCGGCAUCGAGAUUCAGCCUUGAACUACUGGAUUGACAUUUGAGUUUUGCUUUCAUGUUUUAGCUAAGCUUUAAUCACUUCGUAGGAGAUGAUUAAACCUUGUUUUUCUGUGAAAGUCUUUUUUUACUUUUUUUUGGGGCUUUCUAAGAGCCUUGCUUUAAUUAGCUAAUCCUAGACGCAUAAGGUUUGAUCUUCAAGCUCUGAAUUUAUCUCUUGUAUCAUUAUCUUUGGUAAUGAAAUUCACA
RNAcentral lists this long non-coding RNA (1277 nucleotides) under Brassica napus (rape). Its description in RNAcentral is "long non-coding RNA (BNAP_LNC026417)". Lineage: Eukaryota; Viridiplantae; Streptophyta; Magnoliopsida; Brassicales; Brassicaceae. The record is from RNAcentral.